RNAcentral lists this ribosomal RNA (214 nucleotides) under uncultured bacterium. Its description in RNAcentral is "partial 16S ribosomal RNA". It matches the Rfam family "Bacterial small subunit ribosomal RNA", at positions 1289 to 1500 of the family's 1533-position model. The record is from RNAcentral.
CAGUUCGGAUCGCAGGCUGCAACUCGCCUGCGUGAAGUUGGAAUUGCUAGUAAUCGCGGAUCAGAAUGCUGCGGUGAAUGCGUUCCCGGGUCUUGUACACACCGCCCGUCACACCACGGAAGUUGGGGGCGCCCGAAGCCACUUAGCUAACCCUUUUGGGAAGCGAGUGUCGAAGGUGAAAUCAAUAACUGGGGUGAAGUCGUAACAAGGUAGC